Molecule: unclassified non-coding RNA, 221 nt
Filed under: uncultured Gammaproteobacteria bacterium
Lineage: Bacteria; Pseudomonadati; Pseudomonadota; Gammaproteobacteria
Description: contains 16S-23S intergenic spacer region
Rfam family: Bacterial small subunit ribosomal RNA
Source: RNAcentral
UACCCUUGACAUGUCCGAGGGCCUGAAGAGAUUCGGGUGUGCCCGAAAGGGAAUCGGAACACAGGUGCUGCAUGGCUGUCGUCAGCUCGUGUCGUGAGAUGUUGGGUUAAGUCCCGCAACGAGCGCAACCCUUGUCAUUAGUUGCUCCAUUAAGUUGAGCACUCUAAUGAGACUGCCGGUGACAAACCGGAGGAAGGUGGGGAUGACGUGUAACCGAAUCU